Molecule: ribosomal RNA, 114 nt
Filed under: Candidatus Vecturithrix granuli
Lineage: Bacteria; Candidatus Moduliflexota; Candidatus Vecturitrichia; Candidatus Vecturitrichales; Candidatus Vecturitrichaceae
Description: partial 23S ribosomal RNA
Rfam family: Bacterial large subunit ribosomal RNA
Source: RNAcentral
AGAAGGGUAUACGGUGGAUGCCUUGGCGCGUUGCGGCGACGAAGGACGUGGUGAACUGCGAAAAGCCCUGGGGAGUUGUACACAGGCCGAGAGCCAGGGAUAUCCGAAUGGGGC